GGUCCUCGACGGACCGCCCAUCGGACUUUUAUUGGUCCAUUUGAAAGGCCUGUGGGCACGCGCCGCCCGCAGCCUUAAAGGGGCCGCGCGCAGCCGUGUUUCCCUCUGGACCAGACGCCGCCUGCACGGGUGGGGACGCUGGUCGCUGCCGGGGGCAAGUCUGCCGACUCCAGAAAGAAAGGCGAAAGAAUAGAUUGUGAAGCUAAGUGCUGUGAGGGAAACCAGAGGCAGCUGAGAUGUCGUGGAAGUAACAGCGAAUGAAGCCAGGAUGCUGGAUUCUGACCUUGGAACUGUUCUGAAGACACAGGAUCUCAUUAUGUUACCCAGGAUGAUCUCAAACCCAUGGACUCAAGCAAUUCUCCUGCAUCAGCCUCCCAAAGUGCUGGGAUUACAGAGAUAUGGUCCUGUCAUGUUGCCCAGGCUGAUCGUGAACUCCAGGCCUCAAGCAAUACUCCUUACUUCUGUCUUGGCCUCCCAAAGUGGUGAGAUUACUUUGGUGUAGCCACUGUGCCUGACCCUAGUUUCAGAUUUUAUACCAGAGAACUAGACAAGGAAUUCCCAACCUUUGUUUUAUCCCAAGAUGUCCUCCUUUUCUGCUUUUUUUUUCCCUCCCAAAGAGAACAGUGGGGGUUGGAGGGAUGGUUAUCCUUGGGCUAUUCUACUUGUUUUUGUUCUGGCACACCUACUCCUUACUACAGUUAGAAAAAUUAUACACUGUAGCUUAUACUCAGAUCUCUGGUCACUUAAAUACAAGAAGCUUCAGUCUUUCUUACUUUCAUUUUUUGUCUUUUUUUGGGAUGGUGGUGGUAAUGGUGUUGCUAGACUCUAAGCUCUGUAAGAUUAUGUCUUUGUUUAGGCAUGGGCAGUGCCUAGCCCAUAGCAGAUGAAUGAAUGAAUGAAUGAAUGAAUGAAUGGGGAUAUUAUCCUAUAGAUGGUGUGUGGUUUAGAAAAUCAACUAUUGAGACUUGACAUGAAAUUCUACAUCGGGCGUUGAGAUUAACAUGAUUCCCAGUUUUCACUGAGGGAUAUCACAUCCAGAGAACCUGAGAAGGGAUCCCUAGCUCCUUGUUCUAGCCUUGAGAAGUAGUGGAUGAGCUAUGAAAAGACAGCUUUUAAAAAUAAAUGAAAUCCUAGUGAUAAUUUGAUCCACUCUCAGACUAACUAUGAAAGUUGACUAAGAUCAAACAGAGCUAGUGGCAGAUCUGGGACUGGAAUUAGCCCUCCAUGUCCCCAGCUCCAGUACUUUUCUUACUACAUGAGAUAGUCUUGCCAGUGACCAUCACUGCAAGGCAAAGUAAAGUUCUGUAACAAAGACCUAGAACAGAAAUAGAAGAUACAUGGUAUACAUGCCAUGACAUUUCCUUCCAGUGCACAGAAGAGAUGUCACUAGCCAUAUGACAUUCUUCCCAUUGGGUGCGAAUAGGCCCUCAGGCAGCCACUACCAACCAGUCAGAGUCAGCACUCAAGAGGAAACCCAUCUACCAUUCCUCUUCCAGAGGAAAUAAAGGUUUCAUCAGUCAAGGAACUCUGGCCUCGACCUGUCUUCUCCAGAUGAGCUGAAAACUCCAGCAGGAACCUCACACUCUUUAUUGCUCUUCACUGUGCCCACAUCCACAAAGGACUUAAAAGUGAUGUCUGUAAGCAGGUUUUCCACAGCAUGGGUCUGCCAGACAGAGCAGGUGCAGGAUUAGUCAUGACUCCAAGCCAGGCAAGGUGAUU
This 1719-nucleotide long non-coding RNA is filed under the name Homo sapiens (human). Its description in RNAcentral is "HSALNT0362703". Lineage: Eukaryota; Metazoa; Chordata; Mammalia; Primates; Hominidae. The record is from RNAcentral.